Molecule: microRNA, 21 nt
Filed under: Arabidopsis lyrata
Lineage: Eukaryota; Viridiplantae; Streptophyta; Magnoliopsida; Brassicales; Brassicaceae
Description: aly-miR164a-3p
Gene: aly-miR164a-3p
Source: miRBase by way of RNAcentral
CACGUACUCCCCUUCUCCAAC